RNAcentral lists this unclassified non-coding RNA (200 nucleotides) under soil metagenome. Its description in RNAcentral is "partial contains internal transcribed spacer 2 and large subunit ribosomal RNA". The record is from RNAcentral.
GUUCGAGCGUCAGUACAACACUCAAGCUCAGCUUGGUCUUGAGCCCAGUGGGAAACCGCGGGCUUUAAAAUCAGUGGCGGCGCAUCUGGCUCUAAGCGUAGUAAUACUCCUCGCUCUUGAGUUCCAGGUGGAUGCUGGCCAGCAACCCCCAACUUUCUAAGUUUGACCUCGGAUCAGGUAGGGAUACCCGCUGAACUUAA